UACGUAGGGGGCUAGCGUUGUCCGGAAUUAUUGGGCGUAAAGCGCGUGUAGGCGGUCCGGUAAGUCCGCUGUGAAAGUCGGGGGCUCAACCCUCGAAUGCCGGUGGAUACUGUCGGGCUAGAGUGCGGAAGAGGCGAGUGGAAUUCCUGGUGUAGCGGUGAAAUGCGCAGAUAUCAGGAGGAACACCAAUUGCGAAGGCAGCUCGCUGGGACGUCACUGACGCUGAGGCGCGAAAGCGUGGGGAGCAAACAGG
RNAcentral lists this ribosomal RNA (253 nucleotides) under uncultured bacterium. RNAcentral describes it as "partial 16S ribosomal RNA". It matches the Rfam family "Bacterial small subunit ribosomal RNA", at positions 524 to 776 of the family's 1533-position model. The record is from RNAcentral.